RNAcentral lists this non-coding RNA (25 nucleotides) under Rattus norvegicus (Norway rat). Lineage: Eukaryota; Metazoa; Chordata; Mammalia; Rodentia; Muridae. The record is from RNAcentral.
GGCAACGGAAGGGUUUUUCAGAGUC